GAAUUUUGGACAAUGGGCGAAAGCCUGAUCCAUCAAUGCCGCGUGCAGGUUGAAGGCCUUCGGGUUGUAAACUGCUUUUGUACGGAACGAUAAUCUUUGGGUUAAUACCCUGACGUCUUGACUGUUCCGCAUGAAUAUGCACCGCCUAAACCCUUUCCAGCAGCCGCGGUAAAGCGUAGGGUCGAAGCGUAACUCGGAAUUACUGGGCGUAAAGCGUGCGCAGGCGGGUGUGUAAGACAGAGGUGAAAUCCCCGGGCUCAACCUGGGAACUGCCUUUGUGACUGCAAGGCUAGAGUACGGCAGAGGGGGGUGGAAUUCCGCGUGUAGAAGUGAAAUGCGUAGAUAUGCGGAGGAACACCGAUGGCGAAGGCAACCCACUGGGCCUGUACUGACGCUCAUGCACGAAAGCGUGGGGAGCAAACA
RNAcentral lists this ribosomal RNA (423 nucleotides) under uncultured bacterium. RNAcentral's name for it is "partial 16S ribosomal RNA". It matches the Rfam family "Bacterial small subunit ribosomal RNA", at positions 359 to 774 of the family's 1533-position model. The record is from RNAcentral.